RNAcentral lists this ribosomal RNA (253 nucleotides) under uncultured bacterium. Its description in RNAcentral is "partial 16S ribosomal RNA". It matches the Rfam family "Bacterial small subunit ribosomal RNA", at positions 524 to 776 of the family's 1533-position model. The record is from RNAcentral.
UACGUAGGGUCCGAGCGUUGUCCGGAAUUAUUGGGCGUAAAGGGCUCGUAGGCGGUCUGUUGCGUCGGGAGUGAAAACUUACAGCUUAACUGUGAGCGUGCUUCCGAUACGGGCAGACUUGAGGUAUUCAGGGGAGAACGGAAUUCCUGGUGUAGCGGUGAAAUGCGUAGAGAUCAGGAGGAACACCCGUGGCGAAGGCGGGUCUCUGGGCCGAAACUGACGCUGAGGAGCGAAAGCGUGGGGAGCAAACAGG